RNAcentral lists this transfer RNA (59 nucleotides) under Tympanocryptis cephalus. RNAcentral describes it as "tRNA-Cys". The record is from RNAcentral. Lineage: Eukaryota; Metazoa; Chordata; Lepidosauria; Squamata; Agamidae.
UGGUUUAAGAAGGUUUGAGUGCAAAUCAAACGGUGGGCUUGGAAACGGCCCUUAAGCCU